RNAcentral lists this ribosomal RNA (477 nucleotides) under Triticum aestivum (bread wheat). RNAcentral describes it as "partial small subunit ribosomal RNA". The record is from RNAcentral. Lineage: Eukaryota; Viridiplantae; Streptophyta; Magnoliopsida; Poales; Poaceae.
AUGUUGAAUUUGAUUAGGAGGCAUACAAACUGUGUGAAGCUGGCUUUAAAGGAAAAGAAUAAGAUGGAUAGGAUGAAAUUUUGUUUGUCGAUGCUUGAUGAGGCAACAACAGCAACUGCAAGGCCUAAGUUCAAGAUUAUGCAUAAUGUUGUCCAUAUUGACGAAAAGUGGUUUAACAUGACAAAGAAGAAUAGAACAUAUUAUCUGCUGGAUGGGGAGGAAGAGCCUACGAGGCCUAUACACGGCAACUGUAUUGGCAAGGUGAUGUUCUUAACGGCCGUUGCUAGGCCAAGGUGGGACAGCGAAGGAAACGUGACCUUCUCUGGGAAAAUCGGUAUCUGGCCAUUCGUGAAAGAAGUUCCUGCUCAGAGGAGGAGCGACAACAGACCCAGAGGUACAAUAGAGACAAAGUCAAUAAAGGUCGACAGAAAAGUGACGAGGGAGUUCCUGAUAGAGAAAGUCUUGCCAGCGAUAUAA